GGGAUUGCCUCAGUAACGGCGAGUGAAGCGGCAACAGCUCAAAUUUGAAAUCUGGCUUCCUUUGGGAGUCCGAGUUGUAAUUUGCAGAGGAUGUUUCGGGUACCGCUCCGGUUUAAAUUUCUUGGAACAGAAUGUCAGAGAGGGUGAGAAUCCCGUCUUGGACCGGCGGUAGGGCCCAUGUGAAACUCCCUCGACGAGUCGAGUUGUUUGGGAAUGCAGCUCAAAAUGGGUGGUAAAUUUCAUCUAAAGCUAAAUAUUGGCCAGAGACCGAUAGCGCACAAGUAGAGUGAUCGAAAGAUGAAAAGCACUUUGAAAAGAGAGUUAAACAGUAUGUGAAAUUGUUGAAAGGGAAGCGCUUGCGACCAGACUUGUACGCGGCGGUUCCCCCGUCCUUUUGGGCGGGCUAUUCCGUCGUGUUCAGGCCAACAUCGGUUCUGGGGGUUGGUUAAAGGCUUAGGGAAUGUAUCUACCCUUUGGGCGUAGACUUAUAGCCCUAGGUGUCAUACAACCUCCCGGGACCGAGGAACGCGCUUCGGCUCGGAUGUUGGCGUAAUGGUCGUAAGCGACCCGUCUUGAAACACGGACCAAGGAGUCUAACAUUUAUGCGAGUGUUUGGGUGUCAAACCCGGAACGCGGAAUGAAAGUGAACGGAGGUAGGAAGCUUUUAGCUGCACUAUCGACCGAUCCUGAUGUCUUCGGAUGGAUUUGAGUAAGAGCAUAACUGUUGGGACCCGAAAGAUGGUGAACUAUGCCUGAAUAGGGUGAAGCCAGAGGAAACUCUGGUGGAGGCUCGCAGCGGUUCUGACGUGCAAAUCGAUCGUCAAAUUUAGGUAUAGGGGCGAAAGACUAAUCGAACCAUCUGGUAGCUGGUUCCUGCCGA
This 880-nucleotide ribosomal RNA is filed under the name Rhinocladiella sp. Its description in RNAcentral is "partial large subunit ribosomal RNA". It matches the Rfam family "Eukaryotic large subunit ribosomal RNA", at positions 71 to 964 of the family's 3401-position model. Lineage: Eukaryota; Fungi; Ascomycota; Eurotiomycetes; Chaetothyriales; Herpotrichiellaceae. The record is from RNAcentral.